Molecule: long non-coding RNA, 1194 nt
Organism: Ctenopharyngodon idella (grass carp)
Lineage: Eukaryota; Metazoa; Chordata; Actinopteri; Cypriniformes; Xenocyprididae
Exons: 5
Source: RefSeq, a predicted model, not a curated record
AUACACACUCAGUGGCUCAGCGAUACUUAUGUAAUGCGGUCAGCUGUUGUUUUCGGGAAUUUUACAACGGCUUCGAUUGUGGCUCAACCAAUCAGAAUCAAGGGCCGGAACUAUCUGUUUUUAUAAAAUAUUUUUUACUUGAAUAAAACUAGUUAAUUUAGAUUUUUAGGUUACUAUUUUUUAUCAGUGUAUGCUUAACAUAAUUUGCCUGUUGUGCUAAUAUGACAUGUUUGAUAAACUCAGCUUUCUUAUAAAAGAAUUUGGUUUUGCAUUGUACCACUGCACUGUUUCUGGCUUCACCUUUCUUUUCUUUUAUAAAUUUUCAUUUCUUUGCUGUCAACAUGACUCGCUCACCACGUGAACUUCUCGCAUCUGUUCAGUUUCAGAACGUUCAGCAGAGCAGAAGAUCAGACUAUUUUUGGAGAGGGUGAAGAGGAUCACAGAUUGAAAUAUUAAACUACUUGCACGAGUUGUGGAUUUUUUUUUCUGAUAUAAAACUGUUUAAUAAUUAUACUGCAGUAUACUACCCCUUUUUUGGCUGCCUGAAGAUUCUUUAAAAAGGAUCCUUUUGUGGCAUAUGAAAAAACAACAGUGGAACAAAGCAUCCGCCGCUCCGCCACUAAGACGUGUGGCAGGAAGCAAGUCUAUAAAUAGGCCCUUGCUGUAUGCGUCUGAAUAAAAAUAACCUCCAAACUUAAAGUGAAGAGCCACGCCAUGUCCCCGGGGACCCCGCAGCACAUUGUGAUGUACCACGUAGAGUGUCACCAUUCAUCUUCACCGGCCGGACAAAAUCUAUUUCUCCAGAUUGUCCUUCCUGUGAAGCUCAAAUGCAAAGCAUAGUAAAUCACAGGUCCUCUGGUAUUCUGCAAAGAGCUCAAAAUCCAAUGGUCAGGGAGCAAUUAAUCUUUCACGCUGGGCUAGCCUUGCAAUAAGACUGAGUAUCUGAGGGGUCCAGAUCAUUAGGGACACCAUAAAUGGCUGGCUGAAGCUUAAGAGGUGAGAACCACUGCACUACAUCAAUGUGUUCCACCACACCAUGAUUGUUCUAUAUUCUCCUUCUGUAAUGAUGAAGCCCAUUGUUGCACAAGCACUGACCCUGAUGACUGCUGUGGAAAACAAUUACAUCCCCCCCACCUCCUGAGGAGUCACACAGCAAUUAUAAUAAUCCUAUAUGCAAUCACCACAGUAUCCGUG